RNAcentral lists this ribosomal RNA (450 nucleotides) under uncultured bacterium. RNAcentral describes it as "partial 16S ribosomal RNA". It matches the Rfam family "Bacterial small subunit ribosomal RNA", at positions 354 to 796 of the family's 1533-position model. The record is from RNAcentral.
GUGGGGAAUCUUCCGCAAUGGACGAAAGUCUGACGGAGCAACGCCGCGUGAGUGAAGAAGGUUUUCGGAUCGUAAAGCUCUUUCGUUAGGGACGAACGUGCUCUUUGUGAAUAAUGAGGAGUAAUGACGGUACCUAAAUAAGAAGCCACGGCUAACUACGUGCCAGCAGCCGCGGUAAUACGUAGGUGGCAAGCGUUGUCCGGAAUUAUUGGGCGUAAAGCGCGCGCAAGCGGGAUAUCAAGUCUGUCUUAAAAGUGCGAGGCUCAACCUCGUGAGGGGACAGAAACUGGUAUUCUUGAGUGUCGGAGAGGAAAGUGGAAUUCCAAGUGUAGCGGUGAAAUGCGUAGAGAUUUGGAAGAACACCAGUGGCGAAGGCGACUUUCUGGACGAUGUCUGACGCUGAGGCGCGAAAGCUAGGGGAGCGAACGGGAUUAGAUACCCCUGUAGUCC